This is a long non-coding RNA of Tachysurus fulvidraco (yellow catfish), 873 nucleotides long. RefSeq lists it as uncharacterized. NCBI's taxonomy places the organism in Eukaryota, Metazoa, Chordata, Actinopteri, Siluriformes, Bagridae. The record is from RefSeq and is a predicted model, not a curated record. The transcript has 3 exons.
CCUUUAUUUAUUUGUUUGUUUGUUUGUUUGUUUGUUUGUUUGUUUGUUUUAGAUGGGGGGGUGGCUGUUGGAGAUGUCACGCUUGCCUGUCUUCCAAAACUUGAGAGAUGGAAAAUGAAUUACAGAAUGAAUUACCGAAAGCAGCUUAUACAGCACAUAUGGAGUACAAGCUCGGUCGUCUCAGCCUGUGUGUUUGCACAUUAAGAGAAAUGUCACUCACAGGAUUUAAGUCAAAGAGAGCUGACCAAAGAGACUAAUAAUCUAAAUAUACAGGCUUGGACAAGGCCAAGCACUGUAUCCUGCAGAAUCUUGGACUGAAUUAAUGCUAAGCAGCCUGCUGUGAUGUUUCACUUUCCUGUACCCACCAUCUGCCUCAUCAUUUCCAUUAGAGAGCAGGGAAUAACAGUAUUAUUUGGUGAUGUCCUUACAUAGAUGGUACAUUGCUUAAGAAAAGGAAGGGAAAUGUUUCAAAUGAUACAAGAGCACUUACAUGUUUGCAUUUGUUUGUAAUGUUUUGCAAAAACCUGUAAGUCUGUGGGGAAAACUAAGCAUAAUGCGAGUCGGCGGGUGUCUCAGAUCGGCCAGCUUCAAAGUGCUCGAGCUUUCAGCCUGAACAUCCUGAACCCAUACGGUCCAGCUGGCACAACUACUAGGUCCAACCGAUCCGUACAGAGUUUUAAAAUUACAGCACUUGUACAAAAUGAUUGAGUGAAUUUGACCGUUAUAUAGAAAGAAGGUAAAUUCAUUUUUAUGAAAAUCACAGUUUUCUGAAAUGAGAAGUUUUCCAAAAGCAUUGUGAUACAAAUAUAAUGUUUUUAAUACAUUUGUCACUUCAUCAUAUGUUUUUUUUUUUACAUUCUUUAAUGUGAUUUC